GACGAACGCUGGCGGCGUGCUUAACACAUGCAAGUCGAACGGAAAGGCCCUGCUUGCAGGGUACUCGAGUGGCGAACGGGUGAGUAACACGUGGGUGAUCUGCCCUGCACUUCGGGAUAAGCCUGGGAAACUGGGUCUAAUACCGGAUAGGUGCCAUUUUUAGUGUGAUGGUUGGAAAGUUUUUUCGGUGUAGGAUGAGCUCGCGGCCUAUCAGCUUGUUGGUGGGGUAAUGGCCUACCAAGGCGGCGACGGGUAGCCGGCCUGAGAGGGUGGACGGCCACAUUGGGACUGAGAUACGGCCCAGACUCCUACGGGAGGCAGCAGUGGGGAAUAUUGCACAAUGGGCGCAAGCCUGAUGCAGCGACGCCGCGUGGGGGAUGACGGCCUUCGGGUUGUAAACUCCUUUCGCUAGGGAAGAAGCUUUUUGUGACGGUACCGAGAUAAGAAGCACCGGCAAACUACGU
Molecule: ribosomal RNA, 464 nt
Filed under: uncultured bacterium
Lineage: Bacteria
Description: partial 16S ribosomal RNA
Rfam family: Bacterial small subunit ribosomal RNA
Source: RNAcentral